UAUCCCCUGCGGUGUUCGUGAAGGCUAACAAUUCCUUUGUACCAAUGCGUUCGCUUUUGGCCGCCAGCGUGAGACACGGGUGUGUCGCGUCCCUCGAGGAUGCGCCCGAAGUGACUGGCAGGUAGCCCUCCCUGGAAACAGGGUACAAGCGAAUUAUGCCCAAACGACACUCGCGGGGGUCUC
Aquitalea magnusonii is the source of this 183-nucleotide non-coding RNA. The record is from Rfam. NCBI's taxonomy places the organism in Bacteria, Pseudomonadati, Pseudomonadota, Betaproteobacteria, Neisseriales, Chromobacteriaceae.